UACUACUUCCGGAAUCAAAUACGAGUGUGUUUUGUAAUCAUGGCAGACUUGGUAACAAACAACGAAGAUGACUAUUUUUGGACAAAAUGAGGAUUCACAACCUUAUCUUUUUGAAGCUGAAUAUACCGCUGCUCAUAGAAGCGAGUACUAAGGAAGAGGUGGGGGACGGGGAUGAAAGAGACUUUGACGCUAUAAAUAUGGAACUUUGAGCCUAGCUAUUUCGACAUAAAUGGAUUGCUUACCCAAAAUCAACAGAAAACGUCAGCUGGACCAGGCGAACAACUGAUUUUUCCGUGCAAUGAUUUCUGUUUCCGUAACAGCACACGUCUGACUUCCGGCAACAAAUGUGUGUUCCUACUUCCGGAAUCAAAUACGAGUGUGUUUUGUAAUCAUGGCAGACUUGGUAACAAACAACGAAGAUGACUAUUUUUGGACAAAAUGAGGAUUCACAACCUUAUCUUUUUGAAGCUGAAUAUACCGCUGCUCAUAGAAGCGAGUACUAAGGAAGAGGUGGGGGACGGGGAUGAAAGAAACUUUGACACUAUGAAUAUGGAACUUUGAGCCUAGCUAUUUCGACAUAAAUGGAUUGCUUACCCAAAAUCAACAGGAAACGUCAGCUGGACCAGACGAACAACUGUCCAUCGGGCGGUGGAGAAAGCGUUUUUAAAGAUGAAUAAAAAAAGGGCCGGUUACGUAAAGGUCGCUGAACUCCUCCACCAGAUGCUUGGGGACCCUCUUCCCCACGUUGGUCUGGUAGAAGGCAACGCCGUUCUUGCUGUACUGGCUGAGCCGCCCCACGCUCGCCUCCCCAUCUGUGCGCUCCAGCAGCCCGUUGUCCGCCGCCAGGUGGUACACCGGGUUCCCAUUGGCUCCGUGGAUCCAGGUGGCUCCUAGCUCCAAAGCUGCUUCACCUAGAAGACACGAAAAAAAAACAUUGUUUUUACUUAGAGAAGGCAAAUAUUGGCACCUUUUUUUAAAUUAAUCGGCGAUCUUUACCGCAGCUGUAUUCACAGACCAGUGUUUCCUACACAUU
Molecule: long non-coding RNA, 1033 nt
Organism: Entelurus aequoreus (snake pipefish)
Lineage: Eukaryota; Metazoa; Chordata; Actinopteri; Syngnathiformes; Syngnathidae
Exons: 3
Source: RefSeq, a predicted model, not a curated record